GGUGGCUCAGUGGUAGAGCACUUGCCUUGCAUGCAUGAGGCCCUGGGUUCUUUUCCUCAGCACCA
RNAcentral lists this transfer RNA (65 nucleotides) under Dipodomys ordii (Ord's kangaroo rat). It matches the Rfam family "tRNA". Rfam says of the family: Transfer RNA (tRNA) molecules are approximately 80 nucleotides in length. Their secondary structure includes four short double-helical elements and three loops (D, anti-codon, and T loops). The record is from Rfam by way of RNAcentral. Lineage: Eukaryota; Metazoa; Chordata; Mammalia; Rodentia; Heteromyidae.